GCCAGCGAGGUGUAGUGGUUUGAGUACUGGACUACAACUCUGGAGACCAGGGUUUGAAUCCCAGCUCAGCCA
RNAcentral lists this transfer RNA (72 nucleotides) under Phrynosoma platyrhinos (Desert horned lizard). RNAcentral describes it as "tRNA-OTHER". Lineage: Eukaryota; Metazoa; Chordata; Lepidosauria; Squamata; Phrynosomatidae. The record is from RNAcentral.